Molecule: ribosomal RNA, 464 nt
Filed under: uncultured bacterium
Lineage: Bacteria
Description: bacterial SSU rRNA
Rfam family: Bacterial small subunit ribosomal RNA
Source: RNAcentral
GACGAACGCUGGCGGCGUGCUUAACACAUGCAAGUCGAGCGGAAAGGCCCUUUCGGGGGUACUCGAGCGGCGAACGGGUGAGUAACACGUGAGUAAUCUGCCUCGUACUUUGGGAUAGCUUCGGGAAACCGAAAUUAAUACCGGAUAUGACUCCAUGGCGCAUGUUGUGGGGUGGAAAGUUUUUUCGGUACGGGAUGUGCUCGCGGCCUAUCAGCUUGAUGGUGGGGUAAUGGCCUACCAUGGCUUUGACGGGUAGCCGGCCUGAGAGGGUGACCGGCCACACUGGGACUGAGACACGGCCCAGACUCCUACGGGAGGCAGCAGUGGGGAAUAUUGGACAAUGGGCGGAAGCCUGAUCCAGCAACGCCGCGUGAGGGAUGACGGCCUUCGGGUUGUAAACCUCUUUCACCCAUGACGAAGCGAAAGUGACGGUAGUGGGAGAAGAAGCACCGGCCAACUACGUG